RNAcentral lists this long non-coding RNA (2680 nucleotides) under Homo sapiens (human). RNAcentral's name for it is "HSALNT0185637". The record is from RNAcentral. Lineage: Eukaryota; Metazoa; Chordata; Mammalia; Primates; Hominidae.
CUAUAGUAAAAUACUCUAACGAUGAAUGGAAGUAAAAUACCAGAAGAAAAGAAAUCAACCUGAGAAGAUUCAGGGACCUACAGCAUAGGUGAUGUUUUAAAGCAUUCAGUGUCCCUAGACCACACGUUGAAACAAUCUUUUUUACAGUAUAUGGCAUGUUGCUCUCUCUAUAAAUUUCCUAUCACUACAAAAGAGACACAAUGUUUUGGGGGCCUAUUGGGAUUUUGGAGACAACAUAUUCCACAUUUGAGAAUAUUGCUCUGACUCAUUAAUGAAGUUUCCCAGGCUGCUGGUCUCAAGUGGAAUCCAGAACAAAUGAGGGCUCUACAGAAGAUAUAGACUCUGCUCCAAGCUGCUCUGGCCACUGAGCCAGAUGAUCCAGCAGGAUUCAAAGAUGCUAGAACAUACAUAGUGGUCAUUAUAGGACUCUGUGCAUGUCUCUGACAAGCCUGUUGGAGAGGGGAGAGCAAAUCCCUAUGGAAUUAGUGUAAGACCAUUCUCUCUUCAGCAGACAAGUAUCCUCUGUCUGACAAACAAAAUAGCAAGUGCAGAAUAUUAAUCCAAGCAUAGAGUCCCUCUAAGCACAAGUCCCUAUAAGCACAAAACCCUAUGCAACUGUGGACGUCAUAUGCUCAUAAAGCCAGCCAUGACUGGAGGGUAUGAGCACGCCUCAGUGGCACAAGGAGUGGCGGUACUGGACACAAACAUGUGCUUUCUCAGAUUCUCUUCACUAUGUCCAAUUCCCCUGGCCAGCACCUUGCCUGAUCCAGGUCAUCCUUCUAUUUGGGACUUGAAUGCAUCACCACACUGUGGGCAUGAGGUCUGACUUUCAUGACCACCACCAAGGGACUGGAUGAUGUAAGACAGAACAGCAGAGAUGAUAGUUCUGCCUCAAGGAAACCCUGACCAAUAGGAAAUAGAAGACUAAUGACAGAUGAGCAGAUACAUUCUCCCUCCUCUCUCUCUUCCAUGGACUAAUGCCAGCUGUGGUUUCCCCUUGUAGCCCUUCUGGAAAAGUGCUGGAAGCCAAGUACAUGCAUCUGAUGACCAUCAUGCUGUCUCUCUCACCUCACUGUGAAGUGGCUGCCAUCAGGGUCAUACCAGACAUCACCACACAUUGUUUCACAUUUGUUCCGGUCUCAAUUUCCACACGUCCUUGCCAUUUUUGUCUUGAACUUGACUUCUAAAUAAAUGGUAGCACUUCAAUAACAGGUAUUACAUUAAAAACCUUGUCUCCAACUCAGACACCUGAUACAGCUGCAUCAAGACUAUAUUAUUGUCAUAUUUCCCCUAAAAUUGUGGAAUAGCCAAACUUUUCCUUAGGAGAAGGAUUCUGCUUGGAUAAGCCUGUAAUCUUAACCUGAGACUGGAACAGGGGAAUUCAUGCAACUGCAGAUUUUGUGUGAGUUUCCUUUUCACUGGUUUACCACAUCAACUUAUCCAUUUUAGCCACCCAUUUAUUUGUUCAUUAAAGUAUCAUUUUUGACCAUCUAUUCUUGGUGCUGGUUUCGAGUUCCUGGGAGUCAACAGAAAGCAAGACAGACAUUAUCUCUUUUUUUACAGUCCUUACAUUGUACUGAGGAAGAUAUAUGAUUAAAAAAAUACACAAAUCAGGUGGGGGGAUGAUUCAUCUUAAGGUUUAAAUCACAUUGUUUAAAUUUCAUAACACCAAGAAUUAAUACAGUCAAGUAGAAUUUAGCUGUGAACAAGACUGUACAUUUCUUUCUUAUAAUAGAACUUCCUAUUAAAGAAUAUGUCAACACCCUUUCAUUUCAUCAUUGAUGACAAAAUUACAACGUUAAGGCUCAUCUCAUAAUUAAUACACAGAUUUCAUAGAUACUUUUUUAACAUUUACAAAAAGUUUGACUGAAAUAUUUUCCACAAUUUAUAUAUUAUAUUUACAUUGAUUUUAUUUUUCAAAAAGAGAGGAUUUGAGUUCUCUUAUCUGAAGUUUAGAAGGAAUUUCAUAAAUGGAAGGUAAGGAUAUAAUUAGCAAUUCAGGGGCUUAAAAGUGCUUUAGAAAGAAUACUAAAAUAAUUUGCAUGAGAUCUCAACUUCAAAAACAGCUUUUCUUUAAUUCAAAAGCGGAAGAAAUGACGUUUCUAACUGCAUAUGCAUAACUGAUGAUACCAAUCCAGAUCAUGAUCAUGAUAUUUCAUCCCUUUAUUAGAGAAGGGAUUUUUUCCUAAGCUAUUCACAUAUGAAAUCUAAUAUUCCUCAGUACCGCUUAUGGUAGACAUACAUUAAAUUUACUCUGCAUAUGCUUCUCACUCAAAUUCUACUGUGUGCAUUCUUUUCUAACAAUAAUUCUCAUUGCUUUUUACUAAACAUAAAAUAGAAAUUCAUAAUGGAAUAAAACACCAAAGAUACAUCCUCAUUAUUGAUUUAGAAUUGAAUGACUUUACCAUCCAAUAAAUUCGAGGUUCAAGCAAUGAAUUCUAAGCACAAUGUGGUGUAUUCCUGUGGUUCAAAUAACAAUAGAAAAGAGCAAUAUUUAUCCUGGGAUAAGCUGUUACUUCUUAAUAAUUAUAAAUAGACAUCAUAAAUUCUACAAAUGAAAUAUAAAAUGAAUGAAAUAAACAUGGCUUCAAAAUUCUAAGAAGUUUUUGUCAUAUUUUGUAUAAUUUGGCAGUUUGUAUGAAAAAACAGAAAAGAGCAUGUUGUUGUCAAUGUUAAGUUU